Molecule: long non-coding RNA, 1377 nt
Filed under: Macaca fascicularis (crab-eating macaque)
Lineage: Eukaryota; Metazoa; Chordata; Mammalia; Primates; Cercopithecidae
Description: lncRNA (ENSMFAG00000052869.1)
Source: RNAcentral
CCACCCAGUGGCCAGGAUGACAGGGUGAGGCUCUAACGCUAUCACUUUGCGUGCUCCUCUAGGCUUUUUUGGCUUUGCCUGCCCAGCUGUUCCAUGCCAGGAGGAGGAGGAGUUACAUGCUGGCAACUUGCAGAUGGCCUGGGGCUGCCGCUCGCCUCACUGCAGUUGGUGGCAGCUACGGAGACUGCAGCGGGCCAGAACGAAGAGGAGCUGUCUUUCUCUUUGAGACAUCAUGUCCAGCUGGCCCCAGUGGCUGCUCAUCCAGGCGCUGAAGGCCUGUAGCUGGGCUUGGCAUUCCUCCUGCCAGUUCCUGGGUGUCCUACUGAUUAUCUUGGUCCUGGAGGCAUUGGAGAUUUUGGCAAGUAUCCAGAAUUCACUGGCGGUGCUGCGGUCUGCAUCUGCCACCUGCUGCUGGGAGAAGAUCACCUUUACCAGCACCCGUGUUCUGCUGUGAGUGAGACUGACGUUCUCUUGGAACUGGAAGCUCAGGCUCUCAGAAGUGAAGGAAAGAAGAAAGAGUUGGCCAACUUUAAAGUGUGUCCAUUUAAGAAAAGACACUGAGAACUAUGUUUAUCUGAAAAGUUAACUAAGGUCAUGACUUUACUGUUCACUCUAUGGCAGUAAGUAAACGUUAUUUUGGAUUGUAAAGUGAGAAUGUGGACCUGGGCACAGUGGCUCACACCUGCAUUCCUAGGUACUCAGGAGGCCAAGAUGGGAGAAUUGCUUGAGUCCGGGAGUGCGAGACCAGCUUGAACGACAGAGAGAUCCCAUCUCUGUAAGGGAAGAACAAACAAGCGAGAAUGCAUUGUGUAAAUGAGUAAUACCACAAUGCUUUUCUGUACACCUCAGGUCAGCUUUCCUGGCAGCGGACACUGAGAUGGAGAUUCACGUACAGGAAGUUAAGAUGCCUGUCCCUCUACGGGAAUGGUUGGUCAAUAUUAAGGACAUCUGUGAGCAAGCAGGGCAGCCUGUGCCGGACCAGGUGUGUGGAUUAACAGAUUAGGAAGCAGGGCAGCCCGUGCCGGACGAGGUGUGUGGAUUAACAGAUUAGGAAGUAGGGCAGCCCGUGCCGGACCAGGUGUGUGGAUUAACAGAUUAGGAAGCAGGGCAGCCUGUGCCGGACCAGGUGUGUGGAUUAACAGAUUAGGAUAUUGGUUGUUUCUUUGGGCUGACUUAAUCCAGUUUUGCUGAAACUGCUUUUUGCCCCUAGAUACUGCCUGGCAUGGCUGAGACUUCAUUUCUCCCUGCUGUUUUCUGCUGAUCCUGAGUCAAAGGGCAUAAUUCUCUUUUUAUUAAAAGACUGCUGAAAAACCAUAUAAAAGCAGACACUACACACAAAUGUGUGUGUGUGUGUAUCUUUAUGUAUCUCUCAUGUUG